This 72-nucleotide transfer RNA is filed under the name Sarcophilus harrisii (Tasmanian devil). It matches the Rfam family "tRNA". Rfam says of the family: Transfer RNA (tRNA) molecules are approximately 80 nucleotides in length. Their secondary structure includes four short double-helical elements and three loops (D, anti-codon, and T loops). Further hydrogen bonds mediate the characteristic L-shaped molecular structure. tRNAs have two regions of fundamental functional importance: the anti-codon, which is responsible for specific mRNA codon recognition, and the 3' end, to which the tRNAs corresponding amino acid is attached (by aminoacyl-tRNA synthetases). tRNAs cope with the degeneracy of the genetic code in two manners: having more than one tRNA (with a specific anti-codon) for a particular amino acid; and 'wobble' base-pairing, i.e. permitting non-standard base-pairing at the 3rd anti-codon position. The record is from Rfam by way of RNAcentral. Lineage: Eukaryota; Metazoa; Chordata; Mammalia; Dasyuromorphia; Dasyuridae.
GGCAUUGUGGCAGAGUGGAGAAAGCAUCAGAUUUGGAGACAAAGAACCUGGGUUUGAAUCCCAGCUUUGCCA